Molecule: ribosomal RNA, 386 nt
Filed under: uncultured cyanobacterium
Lineage: Bacteria; Bacillati; Cyanobacteriota
Description: bacterial SSU rRNA
Rfam family: Bacterial small subunit ribosomal RNA
Source: RNAcentral
GCAAUGCCGCGUGGAGGUAGAAGGCCCACGGGUCGUGAACUUCUUUUCUCGGAGAAGAAGCAAUGACGGUAUCUGAGGAAUAAGCAUCGGCUAACUCUGUGCCAGCAGCCGCGGUAAGACAGAGGGUGCAAGCGUUAUCCGGAAUGAUUGGGCGUAAAGCGUCUGUAGGUGGCUUUUCAAGUCCGUCGUCAAAUCCCAGGGCUCAACCCUGAACAGGCGGUGGAAACUACCAAGCUGGAGUACGGUAGGGGCAGAGGGAAUUUCCGGUGGAGCGGUGAAAUGCGUAGAGAUUGGAAAGAACACCGAUGGCGAAGGCACUUUACUGGGCUAUUACUAACACUGAGAGACGAAAGCUAGGGUAGCAAAUGGGAUUAGAUACCCCAGUA